This 245-nucleotide ribosomal RNA is filed under the name uncultured Atopobium sp. Its description in RNAcentral is "partial 16S ribosomal RNA". It matches the Rfam family "Bacterial small subunit ribosomal RNA", at positions 111 to 355 of the family's 1533-position model. The record is from RNAcentral. Lineage: Bacteria; Bacillati; Actinomycetota; Coriobacteriia; Coriobacteriales; Atopobiaceae.
UAACACGUGGGCAACCUGCCCUUUGCACUGGGAUAGCCUCGGGAAACCGAGGUUAAUACCGGAUACUCCAUAUUUGUCGCAUGGCGAAUAUGGGAAAAGCUCCGGCGGCAAAGGAUGGGCCCGCGGCCUGUUAGCUAGUUGGUGGGGUAGUGGCCUACCAAGGCAAUGAUGGGUAGCCGGGUUGAGAGACCGACCGGCCAGAUUGGGACUGAGACACGGCCCAGACUCCUACGGGAGGCAGCAGC